This 651-nucleotide ribosomal RNA is filed under the name uncultured marine bacterium. RNAcentral describes it as "bacterial SSU rRNA". It matches the Rfam family "Bacterial small subunit ribosomal RNA", at positions 8 to 638 of the family's 1533-position model. The record is from RNAcentral.
AGAGUUUGAUCAUGGCUCAGGAUGAACGCUGGCGGCGUGCCUAAUACAUGCAAGUCGAGCGAACUGAUUAGAAGCUUGCUUCUAUGACGUUAGCGGCGGACGGGUGAGUAACACGUGGGCAACCUGCCUGUAAGACUGGGAUAACUUCGGGAAACCGAAGCUAAUACCGGAUAGGAUCUUCUCCUUCAUGGGAGAUGAUUGAAAGAUGGUUUCGGCUAUCACUUACAGAUGGGCCCGCGGCGCAUUAGCUAGUUGGUGAGGUAACGGCUCACCAAGGCCACGAUGCGUAGCCGACCUGAGAGGGUGAUCGGCCACACUAGGACUGAGACACGGCCCAGACUCCUACGGGAGGCAGCAGUAGGGAAUCUUCCGCAAUGGACGAAAGUCUGACGGAGCAACGCCGCGUGAGUGAUGAAGGUUUUCGGAUCGUAAAACUCUGUUGACAGGGAAGAACAAGUACCGGAGUAACUGCCGGUACCUUGACGGUACCUGACCAGAAAGCCACGGCUAACUACGUGCCAGCAGCCGCGGUAAUACGUAGGUGGCAAGCGUUGUCCGGAAUUAUUGGGCGUAAAGCGCGCGCAGGCGGUUCCUUAAGUCUGAUGUGAAAGCCCCCCGGCUCAACCCGGGGGAGGGUCAUUGGAACUGGGA